AGUCAUUGGGUAAAAAAAGUAAAACCUAAAGGCGUAAUUAACUUAACUGAUUAAUAUAAUGGGAUUAAUUAUAUAAAUAUAUUUAUAUAUUCCAUCCCGGGGCGUUCUAUAUAGUUAUGUAUAUAUAUAAUAUUUUUACUUAAUUGUAUUAUAUUAUAUUUAUAUACCUCUAACUGGAGCGUACCUUGAGCAUAUAUGUUGUGACCCGAAAGAUGGUGAACUAUACCUGAUCAGGUUGAAGUCAGGGGAAACCCUGAUGGAAGACCGAAACAGUUCUGACGUGCAAAUCGAUUGUCAGAAUUGGGUAUAGCGGCGAAAGACCAAUCGAACCAUCUAGUAGCUGGUUCCCUCCGAAGUUUCCCUCAGGAUAGCUGGUGCAUAUAAAUAUUAUAGAAAAAUAAUCUUAUCUGGUAAAGCGAAUGAUUAGAGGCCUUAGGGCCGAAACGACCUUAACCUAUUCUCAAACUUUAAAUGGGUAAGAACCUAACCUUUCUUGAUAUGAAGGUAUUAGGUUAUGAUAUAUUGUGCCCAGUGGGCCACUUUUGGUAAGCAGAACUGGCGCUGUGGGAUGAACCAAACGUGAUGUUAAGGCGCCAAAAUUAACAACUCAUACUGAUACCAUGAAAGGCGUUAGUUGCUUAAAACAGUAGGACGGUGGGCAUGGAAGUCGUAAUCCGCUAAGGAGUGUGUAACAACUCACCUGCCGAAGCAACUAGCCCUUAAAAUGGAUGGCGCUCAAGUUGUAUGCCUAUACAUCACCGUUAAAGUAUAUGAUUUAUUAUAUAUAUAAUUAUAUUAAAUUUUGAAACUUUAAUGAGUAGGAGGGUACAAUGAUGUGCGUAGAAGUGUUUAUCGUAAGAUUGCAUGGAGCCGUCAUUGGUACAGAUCUUGGUGGUAGUAGCAAAUAAUCGAAUGAGACCUUGGAGGACUGAAGUGGAGAAGGGUUUCGUGUGAACAGUGGUUGAUCACGAGUUAGUCGGUCCUAAGUUCAAGGCGAAAGCUGAUAAAUGAUAAAGUUAUAUAUAUAUAUAAAAUAUAAAAAAUUUUACACUUAUGAUUAUAUGAACGAAAGGGAAUACGGUUCCAAUUCCGUAACCUGUUGAGUAUACGUUUGUUAUUAAAAAUGGGCUAUUUAAUGCGCUCAUCCUGGCAACAGAAACAACCAUAAAGAAGCCGUCGAGAAAUAUCGAAAGAGUUUUCUUUUCUGUUUUAUAGUCGUACUACCAUGGAAGUCUUUAGAAGAGAGAUAUGGUAGAUGGACUAGAAGAGCAUGGCAUUUACUGC
RNAcentral lists this ribosomal RNA (1284 nucleotides) under Philonicus arizonensis. RNAcentral's name for it is "eukaryotic LSU rRNA". It matches the Rfam family "Eukaryotic large subunit ribosomal RNA", at positions 689 to 1778 of the family's 3401-position model. Lineage: Eukaryota; Metazoa; Arthropoda; Insecta; Diptera; Asilidae. The record is from RNAcentral.